Molecule: unclassified non-coding RNA, 234 nt
Filed under: uncultured Hyphoderma
Lineage: Eukaryota; Fungi; Basidiomycota; Agaricomycetes; Polyporales; Hyphodermataceae
Description: sequence contains ITS1
Source: RNAcentral
ACGAGUUUUGAAGUGGGUUUGAUGCUGGCCUUCCCGGGCAUGUGCUCGCCCUACUCUUCAUCCACUCACACCUGUGCACCUAUAAAUGCUAAGAGAUUCAUCCCCUAGACUUCGUCAGGGGUGCGGUUGAAGGAGACUUUGACCGUUGGGUUGAAUCUUUUGCGUUUAACUUUUCUAUAAACUCUUGAAUGUUAUAGAAUGUUUAUGGCCUACGGGCUUGUAUAAAUUAAAAUA